This 820-nucleotide long non-coding RNA is filed under the name Monodelphis domestica (gray short-tailed opossum). RNAcentral describes it as "lncRNA (ENSMODG00000043088.1)". Lineage: Eukaryota; Metazoa; Chordata; Mammalia; Didelphimorphia; Didelphidae. The record is from RNAcentral.
AGACCAAUCUCAUGCCAGGAAGUACAGGGCGUGGUCUCUCCCCCAGCACAGGAUUGGUCCAUUCGAGACCAAUCCCACACCAGGAAGUAGUAGGGAGGAAUCCCUGAGGCAAGUUUGGGGAUGCAGUUCCCCAGGCCACAAUACCUCAUACACUUCAUAUCUGUAUUACCCUGUUCAAGUCACUUAAAACUGAUUGCCUAACCUCUGCUCUUCUGUCUUGAAUUGAUACUAAGACAUAAGGAAGAGGAACAAAGAAAGCAAAAAAAAAGGCUAACUCGGGGCUUUGAAAAUAAAAAGCUGGAGACUGCUGCUGGAGAGGCAAUCAUCAAAGGAGAGAAAGGAGGGACCAGACCAAGAAGGAAUUCAGCUGCUGUUCAUGAUGUAAGAAAGAAGUCAUGUAGACCUUUUUUUUAGCUAUGUGCAUUUGAAAAGAAAAGACCAGACCUGAACAGAAAAUUUGAUGCCCAAGCACAGAACUCAAGAGAAUCAUCAAAAGGUAAUUAAAAAGGAGGGAAAAUAGAAAAACAAAACAAACAAACAAAAAAUUUUUAAGAGACUCAAUAACUUAAAAUGUUAUAUAUCCCUAUAAGAAAAGAGGUCAUUGGUAACUCUUAAAAAUUGUUAUCAUCACCUGGCAGCUAGAAGAAUUACACUUAGGGGGAAUAGUGACCAACAGUAUAGGAUGAAAUUCCAAGACAUAAAUAUGUAUAUAGAUAUAUGUAUGCAUAAAUACAAAUAUAUGUAUAUGUAUAUACACAUACAACUAGAGCUUUAAAAGGAGGUUAAUACUAAAAGAAAUGGGAAAUGAAACAAAAGGGGG